Molecule: ribosomal RNA, 1802 nt
Filed under: Triticum aestivum (bread wheat)
Lineage: Eukaryota; Viridiplantae; Streptophyta; Magnoliopsida; Poales; Poaceae
Description: partial small subunit ribosomal RNA
Source: RNAcentral
UUUCUGACCCGUACGCUGGGUAAGAAGGCACGGCAGAGUACCGUGCCCAGCGGCACGGUAGAGGAUCCUCGUCCCCCGCCGCCGUGCGCCGCCGCUCCCUGCCCCGUCGCCAUGCGCCGCCGCCCCAAGCCCCGUCGCCACGCGCCGCCGCCCCUGCCCCACCCCGCCGCCACGCGCCACCGCCCCUGCCUCGCCCCGCCGCCACGCGCCCCCGCCCCGCACCCAUCUUCUCCAAGCUCCGGUCGCCGUCGCGCCCCCAUCUCUCCCUGCUCCACACCACCACGCCAUCUCCUCCUGGUGGGGCUCCGUCAUCGGAGCGUCCUAUCCGUUCGGCGCCACCACCCCAGGCCGUUCGACUCCUUCACCGCAGGCCGUUCGACUCCUUCACCGCAGGCCGUUCAUCGCUGCAGCAUCCUCGAUUCCGACGGGGGUUAGGCGCAACGAUGAUGGCGACUCGCUCCUGAACGCGACGGCGACGUUGACCGGAAGUGGGGAUUCGUGAGCUGAUAGCGACGGCGACAAGCUCUUCCUCCUCUAGCGGCCUCCUCUGCUCCACCAAGGAGACCGUCAGCAUGCGUUGCCGCACUCGUGGGCUGGAUCCGAUCCUAGAGUUUAGUUCAUCUACACGCCUGAUCUGCAGUUCAGGCCUUGAUGAUACGCUGUACCCGGUGAAGAACAUCAUGUCAGGGUUCAGACUGAUGGAGAGUGAGAGGUACGAUUUGGGUGCAUUCAGAGCAAGAACAACAACGGCAGGAUAGUUUUCAGAGAAGAUAGGUGCGAGAUGGCGGCUGCUGACGUCUGCACCUUGGGCUCCCGUAUGCGUCCCAUACCCCAGCAGGUGCACACGUCCCUGCCCACUGUUCCUCUGUGUUGUUCUUUUGACCUUGAACUAUAUAGGAUACAACUUUUAUUUGAUUUUCAGUUCACCUUUUGCGUUCUUUUCAGUUCAUAAACUUUAGUGUAUUGAUGAAAUCCUGAAAUAUCAUAUGUGCACUCUACGUAUUUGUUUUUAUGCCUACGAACAAUUCUGCACUUGUGCUGUUAUGCAUCAGUUUUGGUCACCAAAAAAUGGAGGUUUAGAUAUGACAAAAUGGAUUAGAGCACCAUGCCCUCACCCAGAAGUUUGAAAAAAUCAUUGCUUUCAGUUCUAGUAAAAUGUUUUUGUUUAAAACUGGACUGCUGAUUCUUUCUGUAAUGGGCUUUAUAUAUUAUCUUUCCUAUGUCUUACUGUAGGAAAAUAUGGUGGCCUUCAGCAAGUAAUCUUUCUCUAACGGGCAUCCUAUGCCUGCGCCACCGAGAGCCUGAUCCUACUUGCUGCGUGCUCACGGCGACCACAAGCAUCGUAAGAAAAAGGCUCGUUGAGCUGCACUUGUUUGUUCUGUCGCUCUUCCCCUGCUCCUCAAGCGCCACUGCUGUCUCGUGCUGACCUCGAUGCGCCGACCGUCGUCCAGGCUGCUGCUGGUUGGUGCUGCAUAAACAAAUAGAGUUAAAGAACAUAGAUGAGAGGAAUUCAGUUCAGGAAGAUUAAAGGGUAAUGUUUAGAGAUGAGGCUGAGGGAUCUGGUUCAACUCCCAUCACCCUUGUUUGGUUUUAUAUGAACCUGUAUCUAUAUUUAUGUUUCCGGUUAGAGAUGAGGCUGAGGGAUCCCUCAACCUCUACACAUCUUCACGAAAAAAGUUGGAACUUGCAUCUAUAUUUAUGUUUCCAGUUACCUUCGGUUAAUUGUACUGAACUUGGCUAAUUGUAGCUUACUAGUACUAAACUUUUGUGCCUGUGCUACCUUUUGUAAAGUUCAUCUUGUC